UAGAGCUACUGAUGACGCGCUCUCAAUGCGAUGACGGAAUGCUGGCCACAUUAUUUUAGCAAACAUAGAGUCCGAUGCAUAUUAUGACAAUUGGGACCUUGGGUAAUGUGUGAAUUCCAAUAGAAUUAAACAAGUGUGUACCCGAGAAUUCCCCUACAGUAAAACAGAUUUUCGAUUAUGCCUGAGUAUUUGCGGCUGCUCUACGAACUAAAUUUGCAGGUUUAUGCGUCUGCGCCGAGAAACAAAAUUACAUCUGUGAGUCUGGGUGGAACUGGGUCCAGAAGCACUGUCAUUUAGACAAGAGGAAGUCAUUUUUUUCCUUGAAAUAAACUUAAAAUGUAAGAAAUUUGAAGAUGCAUUAUUUUUUCAUAUUUAAACAUACCCACUUAAUCUGUCCGAUAUUGAAUUGAUAGUACACAAUAUAUCAGUAGCGUAGCAUGGGUUCGUUUUUAUUAUGGCGAUUACGGCUUGAUCUCGAGAUUUAUUAGUAUAAAUCUCGAGAUCAAGCCUAGCGAGUAAUUACCUAGUGGUAAGAACACCUCCCGCUUAAAACCUGAAUUAGGGCCAGUAUAACGAGGUCGACUGUUGAGGGAUAAUUUUCUCUCGUCAACUCCACUUAACAUCAUAUCAUCAUAUAAAACACUCAUCAAUCUUUAAUGACGUUACUGAUAAAUUUUAAGAUAAGUUAAGCAUAUGAAGAAUUAAAUCUAAGCUGCUACGCCAGAGCCCAAAGAGACAUGUGUCAUCCUAUUCAUAGAAAUUUCCGAGUGUCUUUCCAAAUCCCAAUCAGUCUAUCCACUUAUUUACAAUAAUUUUAGACUCUGUAAAUAAAAGUACGGUUUACUCAAAGAAAAAAGUUGACUGUAAAAUAUAUUGAUAUGAGAUAAAAUUUACUUUUAAUAUUGUACUUGUUUAUAUAGUUGCAUUGCGGUAAGACCGGAUCACAGGAAAACACCGUUCUUUAGACAUUCUGUUGUUACCUCACGAUAAGAAACAGAAGUGCCGUGUGUGAAGUGUUACCUACACAUAACAAAAUGGCACUUACGGCUGUGUUGUCCAUAUUAGGAAAUUUUGUCCCCGCUUAGAAAUAAUUUUAAAUCAAUACAAUUAUCCCGUCAUCCGGUCUUACCGCAACUAACUCUAAAAGUGCAAUAUUAUAAUAAUAAUAUAAGCUUAUAUUGCAUUAUUAUGUAUAUCUUUAUUAUGUUCUCUCAUCA
Manduca sexta (tobacco hornworm) is the source of this 1217-nucleotide long non-coding RNA. RefSeq lists it as uncharacterized. The record is from RefSeq and is a predicted model, not a curated record. NCBI's taxonomy places the organism in Eukaryota, Metazoa, Arthropoda, Insecta, Lepidoptera, Sphingidae. The transcript has 3 exons.